This 322-nucleotide ribosomal RNA is filed under the name uncultured eukaryote. RNAcentral describes it as "partial 18S ribosomal RNA". It matches the Rfam family "Eukaryotic small subunit ribosomal RNA", at positions 1470 to 1796 of the family's 1831-position model. The record is from RNAcentral.
CCCUUAGAUGUUCUGGGCCGCACGCGUGCUACACUGAGUGGAUCAGCGGGUCAGGUUGCGCGAAAGUGUUUCCUAAUCUUUAAAUCCGCUCGUGAUGGGGAUUGACGGUUGCAAUUUUCCGUCAUGAACGAGGAAUACCUUGUAAGCGCGGGUCAUCAUCCCGCGCUGAAUACGUCCCUGCCCUUUGUACACACCGCCCGUCGCACCUACCGAUUGAGAGCAUAGGUGAAAACUCAGGAUCUUAUCUCUUGGACCUUCGGGUACCUUUAGAUUAGAGAAUUUGUUUAAACCUCCGUUCUUAGAGGAAGGUGAAGUCGUAACA